RNAcentral lists this unclassified non-coding RNA (1147 nucleotides) under Leishmania donovani. RNAcentral's name for it is "gene:LdHU3.01.0130(CDS-product:monothiol_glutared oxin_putative)". Lineage: Eukaryota; Euglenozoa; Kinetoplastea; Trypanosomatida; Trypanosomatidae. The record is from RNAcentral.
CUUUCCCACGCACACCACCGCUGUGUAAAGCACUGGAGCUGUCAGCACCCCCACACACUCGAGGGCCGUUUUCACCACACGCACACACAAAAAGAAGGAAACACGUGGCGCUGGAGCCGCAUCGUAGGCCGGGGGCGCAGUGACGGCACGCACGCACGCACGCAAGAUCCUCCGUUGCUCCUGCGCCUGCAUCAGCUCUCGCGUCUUUCCUUCCUCUGCCCCCCCCCCCCCCCCCUUCUCUCUUUCUGCUGUGCUCUGCGGGCCGUUGUCUUGCACGUCACGCUUGGCUGUGCAGAAGGUGCGCAUGCUGCCGUUUUCUUACCGCGUGCUCAUGCGCGGCGUAUCGGCGGUGGCCGGUGCGUCGUCCGUGGCUCUGCAGCAUCGCGCGCUGGCGGGGACGACGCGCUCGUUCAGCAGCAGCAGCCUGGUGUGGUUGGCGCCAUCCGCGCCGACAACGCAGACGCCGCCGGCGAUGGGCGGCGAUACGGACGCUGAGGAGACGCACCCUGAUUUUCAGCCCCGCAUGGUAUCCAGCGACCUCGCGCAGGACGAGAUCGCCAUGAUCAAGAAGGAUAUAGACGACACAAUCCGCGAUGAGGACAUUGUCGUGUUCAUCAAGGGCGUUCCGGAGGCGCCAAUGUGCGCCUUCUCGAAGCGCAUGAUUGACGUGAUGGAGGCGCUUGGGGUGGAGUACACCUCAUUCGACGUGCUCGCUCACCCGGUGGUGCGCAGCUACGUGAAGGAGGUGAGCGAGUGGCCGACGAUCCCGCAGUUGUUUGUGAAGGGUGAGUUUGCCGGCGGCGUCGACAUCAUCCUGAAGAUGGCGGAGGGCGGCGACUUGCAGAUGCUGCUGGAUCAGAAGGGCAUCAAGCAUCGUGAUACCAAACCGUAGCGGUCGGGUGUGCCUCUUUCCUCGCUGCUUUCGGGGCACGUACUCUCCACGUGGGUGCUUCUGUCAGCUGGCUCGCAGGUAGUGUGGUGUUUGUGUGUGUACGACACUCCCCCCGAAGCGGGUUUAAGGCGGACGUGUGAGCUUCUGUUCGAAUUUUGCUGUCUUGCAUGGUGACACGUGCGUGUGCGCGGGCAUGUUUGAUUGUUCAGGGUGCGCUCAUCUCCCUGAGCGAGUUGAGGCCACACAUGCCUUAAG